UAGUAACUGCGAGUGAAGCGGGAAAAGCUCAAAUUUAAAAUCUGGUGGUCUUUGGCCAUCCGAGUUGUAAUUUAGAGAAGCGUCUUCCGCGCUGGGCCGUGCACAAGUCUCCUGGAACGGAGCGUCAUAGAGGGUGAGAAUCCCGUCUUUGGCACGGACAUGCCAGGGCUUUUGUGAUGCGCUCUCGAAGAGUCGAGUUGUUUGGGAAUGCAGCUCAAAAUGGGUGGUGAACUCCAUCUAAAGCUAAAUAUUGGCGAGAGACCGAUAGCGAACAAGUACCGUGAGGGAAAGAUGAAAAGCACUUUGGAAAGAGAGUGAAACAGUACGUGAAAUUGUUGAAAGGGAAACGCUUGAAGUCAGUCGCGUCGACCGAGACUCAGCCUUGCCUUGGCUUGGUGUACUUCUCGGCUGACGGGUCAGCAUCAAUUUUGCCCCUUGGAUAAUGGCGAGGGAAAUGUGACACCUUUACGGUGUGUUAUAGUCUCUUGUCGCAUGCAAGGGUUGGGAUUGAGGAACUCAGCACGCGCCUUUGGGUGUCGGGGUUUUUGCCCACGAUACGUGCUUAGGAUGUUGGCGUAAUGGCUUUAAACGACCCGUCUUGAAACACGGACCAAGGAGUCUAACAUGCCUGCGAGUGUUCGGGUGGAAAACCCGUGCGCGCAAUGAAAGUGAAAGUUGGGACCUCUGUCGUGGAGGGCACUGACGCCCGGACCAGACCUUUUGUGACGGCUCUGCGGUAAAGCAUGUAUGUUAGGACCCGAAAGAUGGUGAACUAUGCCUGAAUAGGGUGAAGCCAGAGGAAACUCUGGUGGAGGCUCGUAGCGAUUCUGACGUGCAAAUCGAUCGUCAAAUUUGGGUAAAGGGGCGAAAGACUAAUCGAACCAUCUAGUAGCUGGUUC
This 899-nucleotide ribosomal RNA is filed under the name Russula turci. Its description in RNAcentral is "partial large subunit ribosomal RNA". It matches the Rfam family "Eukaryotic large subunit ribosomal RNA", at positions 81 to 957 of the family's 3401-position model. The record is from RNAcentral. Lineage: Eukaryota; Fungi; Basidiomycota; Agaricomycetes; Russulales; Russulaceae.